This 71-nucleotide transfer RNA is filed under the name bacterium. Its description in RNAcentral is "tRNA-Pro". It matches the Rfam family "tRNA". Rfam says of the family: Transfer RNA (tRNA) molecules are approximately 80 nucleotides in length. Their secondary structure includes four short double-helical elements and three loops (D, anti-codon, and T loops). The record is from RNAcentral.
CGGGGUGUAGUAUAACGGUAGUACGCGCCCUUGGGGUGGGUGUAACCUCGGUUCAAUUCCGGGCACCCCGA